ACCUCGCUGCCUGCUGUGGGCUGGGACAGGUGGGGAUAGGAUCAGGGACAGACUUUCUGUUUGCUUGUGAGGGGAAGGUAAACAUUGCAAACAUUCCUUGUCUCCCCUCAGCCCUUUUCAAGAGGGGUAUUUAUUAAAUACUGGGAAGAACUGAAGGCAGACUGAAUAUUUGGGGGGAGGGAUACUUAGAGACACAUUUUAGUGAUGACGAAUGGUAAACAUGUCAGGUCACAGAGGCAGGAGAAAAGAAGUCAGAUGCUCAGGCCACAGCAAGUUUUGUUGGAUGUUUUCAUGCUCACAGCAUCACCUGAAAGGAUCUCCCAGCCCUACUUACCCAUCAGGCGUGGGGAGAGAUGCCAAAGUGUGCAGAAGAUAGUUUAUGGAAGCAGGGAGCUCUUCCCAGUGCAUCAAAGUCUCACAUCUUCUGUUUCCCCCCUCAAGUGCCUGCAUCUCUCCUGGGGAUGUCACACAUCAUCUCACACACUCCAACCAGGAUGCAGCAUCCAAGUUCCAGUUAUUUCUGUCUUGGAAAAUAAAAAAGUCUACCAGAGGAAAAGGAAUGUGAGUUUGCAGCAAAGUUUGGUACCUGGAAGACUCCAGGCUGGAGUGCACACUCCUGAUUUAUGGUGUACUUGUUAAAACCACUUGUUCUUGUCAUAACAAAACAGAUCGAAGUAAAGCUGGGUAGAAGGUCCCUUUCUAGCUGGCACUUCAUCAUGGCUUCUUACUCUGUCUUAGGUUCUGGGGGUUUACAGUUAUAUAAAACUUAAUGAAUCAGUAUACUUUAGAUUUCCUUCCUAAUGCAUAUGGGUUCAAUUAACUGCACUGUUUGCUUAUUUAAGUGUUUUCAUUAAAUUGCUUUACUAUAUUUUCCCGCAAUUGAAAGGGAACAUGGUGGGGCUGAUGCCAUCUGCCACCAUCAGUUUAGCAGAACCUUUUUCUUUGUUCAGGUCCAUUCUUUUUUAUUAGAAGACACCCUCCUACCCCCAGUUCCCUGUGUACCAAGCAGUUAUUGCAUUCUCCUCUUCUGACUGCAGACUGAUAAAUAAAAAGCUUGAGCAAGGGCCUUCA
This 1071-nucleotide long non-coding RNA is filed under the name Cyanistes caeruleus (blue tit). Its description in RNAcentral is "lncRNA (ENSCCEG00000010873.1)". Lineage: Eukaryota; Metazoa; Chordata; Aves; Passeriformes; Paridae. The record is from RNAcentral.